AAAAAGACAAACCAUGGGUUUACGUGUCCAACGUUUGACCGUCCGUCUUAUUUGAAAAAAUUAAAAAGACAAGUCACGCAUUAAGUAUUAAUCAUAUUUUAUUAUCUAACAAUAAUAAAAAUACUAAUUAUAAAAAAAUUUCAUAUAAGACGGACAGUCAAACGUUGGACACGGAAACCCAGGGUUUGCCUUUUU
This 195-nucleotide microRNA precursor is filed under the name Oryza rufipogon (brownbeard rice). Its description in RNAcentral is "MIR812 microRNA precursor family". It matches the Rfam family "MIR812 microRNA precursor family". Lineage: Eukaryota; Viridiplantae; Streptophyta; Magnoliopsida; Poales; Poaceae. The record is from Rfam by way of RNAcentral.